GCCAUGCAUGUCUCAGUACAUGCCUAAUUAAGGUGAAACCGCGAAUGGCUCAUUAAAUCAGUUAUGGUUCCUUAGAUCGUACCCACAUUUACUUGGAUAACUGUGGUAAUUCUAGAGCUAAUACAUGCAAACUAGAAUUCCGACCAGAGAUGGAAGGAAUGCUUUUAUUAGAUCAAAACCAAUCGGUGGUAUAUAAUUUAUUAUAUAUCCAUCGUUAAUUUUGAUGACUCUGAAUAACUUUGUGCUGAUCGCAUGGUCUUGUACCGGCGACGAAUCUUUCAAAUGUCUGCCUUAUCAACUGUCGAUGGUAGGUUCUGCGCCUACCAUGGUUGUAACGGGUAACGGGGAAUCAGGGUUCGAUUCCGGAGAGGGAGCCUGAGAAACGGCUACCACAUCCAAGGAAGGCAGCAGGCGCGCAAAUUACCCACUCCCGGCACGGGGAGGUAGUGACGAAAAAUAACGAUACGGGACUCAUCCGAGGCCCCGUAAUCGGAAUGAGUACACUUUAAAUCCUUUAACGAGGAUCCAUUGGAGGGCAAGUCUGGUGCCAGCAGCCGCGGUAAUUCCAGCUCCAAUAGCGUAUAUUAAAGUUGUUGCGGUUAAAAAGCUCGUAGUUGAAUUUGUGUGCCACGCUGUCGGUUCAUCGCUCGCGAUGUUUAACUGGCAUGAUUGUGGGACGUCCUGCCGGUGGAUUUAGCUUUAUAUAUUUUCGAAUAUAUUUAGCGAUCCAGUUUAUAUCCCGUCGCGGUGCUCUUUAUUGAGUGUCGAGGUGGGCCGGUACGUUUACUUUGAACAAAUUAGAGUGCUUAAAGCAGGCUUUUUUUGCCUGAAUACUGUGUGCAUGGAAUAAUAGAAUAGGACCUCGGUUCUAUUUUGUUGGUUUUCGGAACCCCGAGGUAAUGAUUAAUAGGGACAGAUG
This 919-nucleotide ribosomal RNA is filed under the name Aphidius rosae. RNAcentral describes it as "SSU rRNA". It matches the Rfam family "Eukaryotic small subunit ribosomal RNA", at positions 48 to 884 of the family's 1831-position model. Lineage: Eukaryota; Metazoa; Arthropoda; Insecta; Hymenoptera; Braconidae. The record is from RNAcentral. RNAcentral also lists the same sequence under 1 other name.